Molecule: ribosomal RNA, 612 nt
Filed under: Hydraena allomorpha
Lineage: Eukaryota; Metazoa; Arthropoda; Insecta; Coleoptera; Hydraenidae
Description: partial 16S ribosomal RNA
Rfam family: Bacterial large subunit ribosomal RNA
Source: RNAcentral
GUCCUUUUGAUAAUAAUAUAAGGUCUAACCUGCCCACUGAAUUUUUAAAGGGCCGCAGUAUUUUAACUGUGCAAAGGUAGCAUAAUAAUUAGUUUCUUAAUUAGAAGCUGGUAUGAAUGGUUGAACGAGAAAUUUACUGUCUCUAUUUAUUAGUUAAAAUUUUAUUUUUAAGUUAAAAAGCUUAAAUUAAUUUAAAAGACGAGAAGACCCUAUAGAGUUUUAUAGUUAUGGAUAUUUUAUAUUUUUAGAAUUUAAUUUUUGUUUAUAAUUAUUUUAUUGGGGUGAUAUAUAAAUUUAAUAAACUUUAUAUUUUUAAUAACAUAAAUUAAUGAUGAAUUGAUCCAUUUAAAUGAUUAAAAGAAAAAAUUACCUUAGGGAUAACAGCGUAAUUUUUUUUUAGAGUUCUAAUCGAAAAAAAAGAUUGCGACCUCGAUGUUGGAUUAAAAUUAAUUUUUGGUGUAGAAGCUAAAAAAUUAGGUCUGUUCGACCUUUAAAAUUUUACAUGAUCUGAGUUUAAACCGGCGUGAGCCAGGUUGGUUUCUAUCUUUAAAUAAAAUAAAUAUUUUAGUACGAAAGGACCAAAUAUUUUUAAAAUUUAAUUUUUUUUGAAUA